AGCAGCCGCGGUAAUUCCAGCUCCAAUAGCGUAUAUUAAAGUUGUUGCAGUUAAAAAGCUCGUAGUUGAGUUUCGGGGUCAGUAGGUUGGUCGUGCCACUGGUAUGUACUGGUCUCACUGAUUCCUCCUUCUUGUAGAACCGUAAUGCCAUUAAUUUGGUGUUGCGGGGAAACAGGACUGUUACUUUGAAAAAAUUAGAGUGUUUAAAGCAGGCUAACGCUUGAAUACAUUAGCAUGGAAUAAUGAAAUAGGACGUUCGAUCCUAUUUUGUUGGUUUCUAGGAUUGACGUAAUGAUUAAUAGGGAUAGUUGGGGGCAUUAGUAUUCAAUUGUCAGAGGUGAAAUUCUUGGAUUUAUUGAAGACUAACUACUGCGAAAGCAUUUGCCAAGGAUGUUUUCAUUAAUCAAGAACGAAAGUUAGGGGAUCGAAGACGAUCAGAUACCGUCGUAGUCUUAACCAUAAACUAUGCCGACUAGGGAUCGGAUGAUGUUAAUUUUUUAAUGACUCA
This 508-nucleotide ribosomal RNA is filed under the name uncultured Rhizophagus. Its description in RNAcentral is "SSU rRNA". It matches the Rfam family "Eukaryotic small subunit ribosomal RNA", at positions 569 to 1078 of the family's 1831-position model. The record is from RNAcentral. Lineage: Eukaryota; Fungi; Glomeromycota; Glomeromycetes; Glomerales; Glomeraceae.